AAGUCGAACGGGAAUUACUUUAUUGAAACUUCGGUCGAUUUAAUUUAAUUCUAGUGGCGGACGGGUGAGUAACGCGUGGGUAACCUGCCUUAUACAGGGGGAUAACAGUCAGAAAUGACUGCUAAUACCGCAUAAGCGCACAGAGCUGCAUGGCUCGGUGUGAAAAACUCCGGUGGUAUAAGAUGGACCCGCGUUGGAUUAGCUUGUUGGGGGGGUAACGGCCCACCAAGGCGACGAUCCAUAGCCGGCCUGAGAGGGUGAACGGCCACAUUGGGACUGAGACACGGCCCAGACUCCUACGGGAGGCAGCAGUGGGGAAUAUUGCGCAAUGGGGGAAACCCUGAUGCAGCGACGCCGCGUGAAGGAAGAAGUAUCUCGGUAUGUAAACUUCUAUCAGCAGGGAAGAUAGUGACGGUACCUGACUAAGAAGCCCCGGCUAACUACGUGCCAGCAGCCGCGGUAAUACGUAGGGGGCAAGCGUUAUCCGGAUUUACUGGGUGUAAAGGGAGCGUAGACGGUGUGGCAAGUCUGAUGUGAAAGGCAUGGGCUCAACCUGUGGACUGCAUUGGAAACUGUCAUGCUUGAGUGCCGGAGGGGUAAGCGGAAUUCCUAGUGUAGCGGUGAAAUGCGUAGAUAUUAGGAGGAACACCAGUGGCGA
This 658-nucleotide ribosomal RNA is filed under the name uncultured Lachnospiraceae bacterium. RNAcentral describes it as "bacterial SSU rRNA". It matches the Rfam family "Bacterial small subunit ribosomal RNA", at positions 59 to 718 of the family's 1533-position model. The record is from RNAcentral. Lineage: Bacteria; Bacillati; Bacillota; Clostridia; Lachnospirales; Lachnospiraceae.